AGCAUAGUCUGUAUUAUUUAAUCACUUCUUUAGCUUCCAGAUGGACAAAACAUGUCAAAGAAGUUGUAGAUUCUCAAUAUAAAGAAAGGAGAAUUGACCUACCUGUUGACUCAGCUUUGUGGUUACAACAUUUCAAAUCUCAAAAUUCUUCACUGCUCGAAGAACUUGAUUUACGAGUUUCAAAAUCCUACACUUGGAGUAAAAGAGAAGUUACUGAAGCAGGAGCUCCUCUUACAGAUGUUAUUGAACAUGGUAUUGAAAGAGUAAGACAUGCUUCUGAUUGUGUAGCAGUACUCCUUAAAGAAAUUAAACUUCUUUCACAGUCUGGCAGGUUCAAAACUGCAGUUGUGGUUGAUGGUGUAAAUGCUUUCUUUU
This is a non-coding RNA of Parasteatoda tepidariorum (common house spider), 375 nucleotides long. NCBI's taxonomy places the organism in Eukaryota, Metazoa, Arthropoda, Arachnida, Araneae, Theridiidae. The record is from RefSeq and is a predicted model, not a curated record.